GCACGGGUGAGUAACACGUGAAUUACAUGCCCUUCAGUGGGGAAUAGCCCAGGGAAACUUGGAUUAAUACCCCAUAGUCUCGCAAGAGUAAAGGUGGCGUAAGCUGCCGCUGAAGGAUUGGUUCGCGCCCUAUCAGCUUGUUGGUGAGGUAACGGCUCACCAAGGCUACGACGGGUACCUGGUCUGAGAGGACGAUCAGGCACACUGGAACUGAGACACGGUCCAGACACC
Molecule: ribosomal RNA, 231 nt
Filed under: uncultured bacterium
Lineage: Bacteria
Description: partial 16S ribosomal RNA
Rfam family: Bacterial small subunit ribosomal RNA
Source: RNAcentral